GAGAUUGUACGGAAAUUUACUGGUAGAGUUGAACCAACAAAUUCUUAAUUCGUGAUACUUCAGGCAUAGCUAUUUCUCAUUUCUUUUUUUUCAUUUGCUCUGUGGUGGAUUAAAGCAAAUAGUCAUUUAGAUAUUGGAUUACUGACUUUCUGUAUUUUUCUGCAUAUUGCAUGUAAUGUUAGGAUGAUGAUCAUAUUAAUAUUUACCAAUUACUUCUUUUGGCGAACCCUGCGUAUUUGCAUUAUUGUGAUGCUUGAGUUUAUUUGUCAAGUCUGUUUUCCUUCAGUUGGCAGCACCUCUAGAGACAUUGGGGAAAGCUGCAGCUG
Molecule: unclassified non-coding RNA, 326 nt
Filed under: Hevea brasiliensis (rubber tree)
Lineage: Eukaryota; Viridiplantae; Streptophyta; Magnoliopsida; Malpighiales; Euphorbiaceae
Source: RNAcentral